RNAcentral lists this long non-coding RNA (287 nucleotides) under Carica papaya (papaya). Its description in RNAcentral is "long non-coding RNA (CPAP_LNC010874)". Lineage: Eukaryota; Viridiplantae; Streptophyta; Magnoliopsida; Brassicales; Caricaceae. The record is from RNAcentral.
CCUGCUAUCGUCUCAAAAAUACUUACAGCAUAUGUGCUAGUGCUCAACACUACGUGAGAGAGUGCCCGCAAAAUUAGAAUCAGGCCAGAUCUGCUAUCCAGGGUAGAUCGUACAAAUCACCCAGCAAGAUGAUGAAGUCAAUCCAAAUGUGAUACAUGAUACGUACAUUAUCUGUAAUUACCUUGCACAUGUUUUGAUCGAUACUAGUGCUUCACAUUCAUUUGUCUCACAUAUGUUUACAAAAAAAUUUUAAUGUAUUACCUGAAAAACUUGUUUAUGUAUUUUUU